Molecule: ribosomal RNA, 121 nt
Filed under: Carlito syrichta (Philippine tarsier)
Lineage: Eukaryota; Metazoa; Chordata; Mammalia; Primates; Tarsiidae
Source: RNAcentral
AUCUACAGCCAUACCGCCCUGAACUCAUCCAAUCUCAUCUGAUCUUGGAAGCUAAACAGGGUUGGGCCUGGUUAGUUCUUGGAUGGGAGAAAUAAAUACAUAAUCAUGGACACUGAAGACC